CGGAGGAUCCAAGCGUUAUCCGGAAUCAUUGGGUUUAAAGGGUCCGUAGGCGGUUUAGUAAGUCAGUGGUGAAAGCCCAUCGCUCAACGGUGGAACGGCCAUUGAUACUGCUAGACUUGAAUUACUAGGAAGUAACUAGAAUAUGUAGUGUAGCGGUGAAAUGCUUAGAGAUUACAUGGAAUACCAAUUGCGAAGGCAGGUUACUACUAGUUUAUUGACGCUGAUGGACGAAAGCGUGGGUAGCGAACAGGAUUAGAUACCCUGGUAGUCCACGCCGUAAACGAUGGAUACUAGCUGUUGGGAGCAAUUUCAGUGGCUAAGCGAAAGUGAUAAGUAUCCCACCUGGGGGAGUACGGGCGCAAGCCUG
RNAcentral lists this ribosomal RNA (367 nucleotides) under uncultured organism. Its description in RNAcentral is "bacterial SSU rRNA". It matches the Rfam family "Bacterial small subunit ribosomal RNA", at positions 526 to 896 of the family's 1533-position model. The record is from RNAcentral.